This 255-nucleotide long non-coding RNA is filed under the name Anas platyrhynchos platyrhynchos (common mallard). Its description in RNAcentral is "lncRNA (ENSAPLG00000022653.1)". Lineage: Eukaryota; Metazoa; Chordata; Aves; Anseriformes; Anatidae. The record is from RNAcentral.
AACAGAUAGACAGAUUAUUGCAGUGCCAUAAGCUUUAUUUCCAUAGAGGAAUGAAUGACAGCCUUUAAACCAGCUAUGAUGGUUCACGCAAGAAGCCCUAUCUAGCCUGUAAUAGUGAAGCACUGUGGAGGUUGGACAAAAAGAACUCAGGAAGAAAUGAAACUCAUUCCAAAUGCGCUGUAUACAGAGGCAGGACUCAUCCACAUGAUCAAAAAUAAAAAUAAAAAAUGGUUGCCUGCUAGAAGAAAAGUAAAA